This 312-nucleotide ribosomal RNA is filed under the name uncultured bacterium. RNAcentral's name for it is "bacterial SSU rRNA". It matches the Rfam family "Bacterial small subunit ribosomal RNA", at positions 30 to 334 of the family's 1533-position model. The record is from RNAcentral.
AUUGAACGCUAGCGGGAUGCCUUACACAUGCAAGUCGAACGGCAGCAUAAGAGAGCUUGCUCUCUUGAUGGCGAGUGGCGAACGGGUGAGUAAUGUAUCGGAACGUGCCCAGUAGCGGGGGAUAACUACGCGAAAGCGUAGCUAAUACCGCAUAAUGCUUUUGAGCGGCAUCGCUUGAAAGCCAAAGAUUUAUCGCUGAAAGAUGGUCUCGCGUCUGAUUAGCUAGUUGGUGAGGUAACGGCUCACCAAGGCGACGAUCAGUAGCCGGUCUGAGAGGAUGAACGGCCACAUUGGGACUGAGAUACGGCCCAG